Molecule: ribosomal RNA, 253 nt
Filed under: uncultured bacterium
Lineage: Bacteria
Description: partial 16S ribosomal RNA
Rfam family: Bacterial small subunit ribosomal RNA
Source: RNAcentral
UACAGGGGGUGCAAACGUUGCUCGGAAUUACUGGGCGUAAAGCGCGCGUAGGCGGGCAGAGAAGUCCGGUGGGAAAGCCCACGGCUCAACCGUGGAAGAACGCUGGAAACUCUCUUUCUUGAGGGCGGCAGAGGGAAGUGGAAUUGCUGGUGUAGCGGUGAAAUGCGUAGAUAUCAGCAGGAACACCCGUGGCGAAGGCGGCUUCCUGGGCCGCCCCUGACGCUGAGGCGCGAAAGCGUGGGGAGCGAACGGG